RNAcentral lists this ribosomal RNA (468 nucleotides) under uncultured bacterium. RNAcentral describes it as "partial 16S ribosomal RNA". It matches the Rfam family "Bacterial small subunit ribosomal RNA", at positions 28 to 507 of the family's 1533-position model. The record is from RNAcentral.
GACGAACGCUGGCGGCGUGCUUAACACAUGCAAGUCGAACGGAAAGGCCCUGCUUUUGUGGGGUGCUCGAGUGGCGAACGGGUGAGUAACACGUGAGUAACCUGCCCUGGACUUUGGGAUAACUUCAGGAAACUGGGGCUAAUACCGGAUAGGAGCCCCUGCUGCAUGGUGGGGGUUGGAAAGUUUCGGCGGUUGGGGAUGGACUCGCGGCUUAUCAGCUUGUUGGUGGGGUAGUGGCUUACCAAGGCUUUGACGGGUAGCCGGCCUGAGAGGGUGGCCGGCCACAUUGGGACUAAGAUACGGAGCAGAGUCCUACGGGAGGCAGCAGUGGGGAGUAUUGCCCAAUGAGCGCGAGCGUGAUGCAGAAGCGCUGGGGGCGGGAUGACGGCCUUCGGGUAAUGAACCGCUUUCGCCUGUGACGAAGCGUGAGUGACGGUAAUGGGUAAAGAAGCACCGGCUAACUACGUG